UACGGAGGGUGCGAGCGUUGUCCGGAAUCACUGGGCGUAAAGGGCGCGUAGGCGGCUUCUUAAGCGUGCGGUGAAAGCCCGGGGCUCAACCCCGGGUCGGCCGUGCGAACUGGGAGGCUCGAGCACUGUAGAGGCAGGUGGAAUUCCGGGUGUAGCGGUGGAAUGCGUAGAGAUCCGGAAGAACACCGGUGGCGAAGGCGGCCUGCUGGGCAGUGGCUGACGCUGAGGCGCGACAGCGUGGGGAGCAAACAGG
Molecule: ribosomal RNA, 253 nt
Filed under: uncultured bacterium
Lineage: Bacteria
Description: partial 16S ribosomal RNA
Rfam family: Bacterial small subunit ribosomal RNA
Source: RNAcentral